RNAcentral lists this ribosomal RNA (605 nucleotides) under uncultured bacterium. RNAcentral's name for it is "bacterial SSU rRNA". It matches the Rfam family "Bacterial small subunit ribosomal RNA", at positions 38 to 637 of the family's 1533-position model. The record is from RNAcentral.
UACGGGAGGCCUACACAUGCAAGUCGAGGGGUAACGGAAGUAGCUUGCUACUAGGCGACGACCGGCGCACGGGUGAGUAACGCGUAUGUAAUCUGCCUUGUACAGAGGGAUAGCCCAGAGAAAUUUGGAUUAAUACCUCAUAGUAUUACUGGAUCGCAUGAUUUGGUAAUUAAAGCUCCGGCGGUACAAGAUGAACAUGCGUGACAUUAGCUAGUUGGUAAGGUAACGGCUUACCAAGGCUACGAUGUCUAGGGGUUCUGAGAGGAUGAUCCCCCACACUGGUACUGAGACACGGACCAGACUCCUACGGGAGGCAGCAGUGAGGAAUAUUGGUCAAUGGACGCAAGUCUGAACCAGCCAUCCCGCGUGAAGGAUGACUGCCCUAUGGGUUGUAAACUUCUUUUAUAUGCAAAUAAACCUACUUUCGUGAAAGUAGCUGAAGGUAGCAUAUGAAUAAACACCGGCUAACUCCGUGCCAGCAGCCGCGGUAAUACGGAGGGUGUAAGCGUUAUCCGGAUUUAUUGGGUUUAAAGGGUACGUAGGCGGUAAUAUAAGUCAGUGGUGAAAUCCUGCAGCUCAACUGUAGAACUGCCAUUGAAACUGUA